Molecule: transfer RNA, 76 nt
Filed under: Burkholderiales bacterium
Lineage: Bacteria; Pseudomonadati; Pseudomonadota; Betaproteobacteria; Burkholderiales
Also listed under: 4 other names
Description: tRNA-Glu
Rfam family: tRNA
About the family: Transfer RNA (tRNA) molecules are approximately 80 nucleotides in length. Their secondary structure includes four short double-helical elements and three loops (D, anti-codon, and T loops).
Source: RNAcentral
GUCCCUAUCGUCUAGAGGCCUAGGACAUCGCCCUUUCACGGCGGUAACAGGGGUUCGAAUCCCCUUAGGGACGCCA